AUAGAUAUUGAUCCAGUAUGCGUAAUAGGAAGAGCAGUACUGUUAACACAUGAAUAGAUAAGGCCACCUAUUAACGUUUGAAUAGAUAAGACCACCAACCUCCCAAGUGAUUUGUAUAUAUCUUGUUGAACUACUUUUUAUUACCUUUAUUAUCUCAUGUACAGUUGAUGUUACUUGUAUAUAUACACAAGAUUAAUGAGAAUCAAGGAAGCCCAAUCUUCACAUGGUAUUAGAGCU
Molecule: long non-coding RNA, 237 nt
Filed under: Elaeis guineensis (African oil palm)
Lineage: Eukaryota; Viridiplantae; Streptophyta; Magnoliopsida; Arecales; Arecaceae
Description: long non-coding RNA (EGUI_LNC011104)
Source: RNAcentral